RNAcentral lists this ribosomal RNA (207 nucleotides) under uncultured bacterium. RNAcentral's name for it is "partial 16S ribosomal RNA". It matches the Rfam family "Bacterial small subunit ribosomal RNA", at positions 1294 to 1500 of the family's 1533-position model. The record is from RNAcentral.
CGGAUUGUAGUCUGCAACCCGACUACAUGAAGCUGGAAUCGCUGGUAAUCGCGAAUCAGAAUGUCGCGGUGAAUACGUUCCCGGGUCUUGUACACACCGCCCGUCACACCAUGGGAGUCGGAAAUGCCCGAAGUCAGUGACCCAACCGUAAGGAGGGAGCUGCCGAAGGUGGAGCCGGUAACUGGGGUGAAGUCGUAACAAGGUAGC